AUGUUCCGACCUGCACGAAUGGCGUAACGACUUCCCCGCUGUCUCCAAGAUCGACUCAGCGAAAUUGAAUUGCCUGUCAAGAUGCAGGCUUCCCGCGGUUAGACGGAAAGACCCCGUGCACCUUUACUACAGCUUCACACUGGCAUUAGGCCGAACAUGUGCAGGAUAGGUGGUGGGCUUUGAAGCGUGAACGCCAGUUUGCGUGGAGCCUCCCUUGAGAUACCACCCUUGCUCUGCUUGAUGUCUAACCGCGGUCCAUUAUCUGGAUCCGGGACCCUGUGUGGCGGGUAGUUUGACUGGGGCGGUCGCCUCCUAAAGAGUAACGGAGGCGCGCGAUGGUAGGCUCAGGCCGGUCGGAAAUCGGUCGUUGAGUGCAAUGGCAAAAGCCUGCCUGACUGCGAGUCUGACAAGACGAGCAGAGACGAAAGUCGGUCAUAGUGAUCCGGUGGUCCCUCGUGGAAGGGCCAUCGCUCAACGGAUAAAAGGUACGCCGGGGAUAACAGGCUGAUACUGC
This 514-nucleotide ribosomal RNA is filed under the name Pteridomonas danica. Its description in RNAcentral is "partial Bacterial large subunit ribosomal RNA". It matches the Rfam family "Bacterial large subunit ribosomal RNA", at positions 1978 to 2491 of the family's 2925-position model. The record is from RNAcentral. Lineage: Eukaryota; Dictyochophyceae; Pedinellales.